UACGUAGGUCCCGAGUGUUGUCCGGAUUUAUUGGGCGUAAAGCGAGCGCAGGUGGUUUAUUAAGUCUGGUGUAGAAGGCAGUGGCUCAACCAUUGUAUGCAUUGGAAACUGGUAGACUUGAGUGCAGGAGAGGAGAGUGGAAUUCCAUGUGUAGCGGUGAAAUGCGUAGAUAUAUGGAGGAACACCGGUGGCGAAAGCGGCUCUCUGGCCUGUAACUGGCACUGAGGCUCGAAAGCGUGGGGAGCAAACAGG
RNAcentral lists this ribosomal RNA (252 nucleotides) under uncultured bacterium. RNAcentral describes it as "partial 16S ribosomal RNA". It matches the Rfam family "Bacterial small subunit ribosomal RNA", at positions 524 to 776 of the family's 1533-position model. The record is from RNAcentral.